This 297-nucleotide ribosomal RNA is filed under the name uncultured bacterium. Its description in RNAcentral is "partial 16S ribosomal RNA". It matches the Rfam family "Bacterial small subunit ribosomal RNA", at positions 333 to 628 of the family's 1533-position model. The record is from RNAcentral.
CAAGUCCUACGGGGCGCAGCAGUGAGGAAUAUUGGUCAAUGGGCGGGAGCCUGAACCAGCCAAGUCGCGUGAAGGAAGAAGGUACUUAGUAUUGUAAACUUCUUUUGUCGGGGAACAAAGGCGGAGACGCGUCUCCGGAUGAGUGUACCCGAAGAAAAAGCAUCGGCUAACUCCGUGCCAGCAGCCGCGGUAAUACGGAGGAUGCGAGCGUUAUCCGGAUUUAUUGGGUUUAAAGGGUGCGCAGGCGGGCGAUCCAGUCAGCGGCAAAAUGUCGGGGCUCAACCCCGGCCGGCCGUU